ACUUCUAUAGUUUAAAUGAACAUAACAUUUUCAAUGCUAAAGAAAAAGAAGAA
RNAcentral lists this transfer RNA (53 nucleotides) under Scatoglyphus polytrematus. RNAcentral describes it as "tRNA-Glu". Lineage: Eukaryota; Metazoa; Arthropoda; Arachnida; Sarcoptiformes; Acaridae. The record is from RNAcentral.